Molecule: long non-coding RNA, 3826 nt
Organism: Acinonyx jubatus (cheetah)
Lineage: Eukaryota; Metazoa; Chordata; Mammalia; Carnivora; Felidae
Exons: 4
Source: RefSeq, a predicted model, not a curated record
AUCACUCUGGCUGAUCAUAUGAGAUUUUACUGUCACUUUAGCAGUCUUACUUAUGAUGAUAAAAGUUGCAUAAAUGGGGAACCUGAGUGGCUGAGUCAGUUGAGGGUAUGAUUCUUGAUUUCAGCUCAGGUCAUGAUCUCACAGUUCGUGGGAUCAAGCCCCACAUUGAACUCUGCAUUGGCAGUGUGAGGCCUGCUUGGGAUUCUGUGUCUCUUCUCUGUCUGCCUCUUCCCCACUUGCAUAUUCUCUCUGUCUCAAAAUAAAUAAAUAAAAACUUAAAAAAAGAAGUUGCAUAAGUGGAGAGGUCAUAAGUUAGGUCAGCAUUAUUGAGUGAAAACACAUACAAAGCAUUGCAUGGUGAAAUGUUCUAGUCUCUGGGACACAAAAUAUUCCUACCCACCAACAGCCAUCCUGAUUCAGGAACUAUAUUAAGGCCUUUAAGAAGAAUGGUGUAAAUUCCAUUUUUAUUGCAGCCUCACACAUUGUGCCUGUGUGCACUCACUGACAUGCACGGUCUGCCUCUUUGCAGAUUGACCCUGGAUAUAGGAAGCCGAGGUCCCAUAUGCCCAGUGGCAUAAUGUGUCAAGGCUGAGUCUCCAUAGUCCAUAUAUUGUUGGUAAAUGACUCAACAAAAUGAUUCAACCCCUAUAUUGCAUCCUCUUCUCAGUGCUGGGAAUAUAAGAAUAAGUAAUGAAUGCCUUCUUCCUCACUGAGCUCAUGACCUGGGGAAGAUGUCAGCGUUGUAUGUUGGGAUUUUUGCUGUUUUUUACUAGACAAUAAAAAGAAAUGUAAUUAGGGGUGCCUGGGUGGCUCAGUCGGUCAAGCGUCUGACUUCAGCUCAGGUCAUGAUCUCACACUCCGUGAGUUCGAGCCCCACAUCAGGCUCUGUGCUGACAGCUCGGAGCCUGGAGCCUGCUUCAGAUUCUGUGUCUCCCUCUCUCUCUGCCCCUCCCCUGCUCAUGCUCUGUCUCUCUCUGUCUCUCAAAAAUGAAUAAAUGUUUAAAAAAAUGAAAAAAAAGAAAUAUAAUUAAUUCUGUUCCAUUCAGUUUUCUUCUGUCAGACUAUUUUCUCUUGGCUUUUUUUUUAUUUUUAAAAAUCUUUUAAAAAUAUUUUUUAAUAAGGUACUUCAUUUAAGAGAGUAUACAAAUAGAAUUUUCCUGCAGAAUCUCAGGAAAUAUCUUCUGCUGUCUUCUCAUAAAUGUGCUUAGUCUAUCUAAAUGGUUAAGUAUUUAAAUAUGUAAGUGGUAAGGUUGAAUUCUUAACAUUUAUGUGGCCCCUUCUGUCCAAUGGGGAGACUGCAGACUAAACUUGAUAUUCUUCAUUAUGCUUCCGUGAAAUCAAAUCUAUGUUUUGUCUUCAAAUAAUUUAAAAAAUUUUAAGUUUAUUUAUUUAUUUUCAGAGAGGGGCAGAAAGAGAGGGAGAGAGGGAAUCCCAAGCAGACUCUGUGCUGUCAGUGCAGAGCCUGACACAGGGCUCGAUCCCAAGAAACCUGAGCCGAAACCAAGAGUCGGAAGCUUAACUGACUGAGCCACCCAGGCACUCCUCUCACAUAACUUACUUAGUUUUUAUAGAGAACACUGAGAAGUCAGUUUGUUUCCUAAAUAUAAAUGUGAGAAAAAAUUAAGAUUAUUUGGUAAAAUAUGGGGAAACUGUUGUCAAGUAAUUAAUCUUGCUAUGAGUUGAUUUCUUAGCCAUGUUACUCUGUUUGGUUCUGCCUAGGGUAACACAAUAUUUUUGCCACCUGGUAACCAUUUAGUGGCUUGCUGUCUGUCAAAUUGGAAUCAUUAAUCUAAGAUCCACAAAAUACACUGACCUCAUCAAGAACCAUCAGCCACAUUAAUCACAUGGCUAAAUAAUGUCUAACUUGCCAAAAGAGAGAGAACAGAAGAAACCGGAGGUCAAGAAAAUCCCCAAAAGGAAAAUACAGAUUCAAAAGUGUGAUUGUCCAGCAAACUAUACAUCUAGGCUGGACAGUAUAGCUACUAGUGGUCAGAGAGUUCAAGAAAAUGUUGCCAGUCGUGGCGUGGAGCCAAGCAGCAUCUUGAGACAAGAGAGCUAUUUCUUGGAGCAUUGAAACCACAGUCCGUACAAGUAUCUGCAGACGGCAUCAGCAGAGGAAUCUAGGAGACAGACAUAUCCUAGAGUGAGUAAGGAGUGGUGAAACUGUCCUGUUGGCCCAGAUAACUACUCUGCACCAAGUGCAAAGUGUAAUGUAUAAAUGACAAGUUUGGUUUUCGUGAGUGAUCACGAAGGUUCUCCCAUACAGCAGUGCACAGCAACGUGUGAACAUGACAGUGAAGAGGAAUGGAGAUAGAUGAACAUAAGAGGACAGAGGUAAUAACAGUUGAGUCUGGAGGCCUUGUACAUUAGAAGCUGGAUUUAUAUGACUGCAGAGGAAUUUUGUAGCUCGUUACAUUUAGAGCUUCUACCUUUAUCAGAAGACCUCCUUGAUAAAAGUAAGAAAGAUAAAAACAGAACUAGCACUGGCCCUAAGACUUUGAAGAGAGACCGUUGAUGAAAAGAGACUCCCACCUGGGUUUUGGCUAUUUUUAUAUUAUGCUACUCUAGAUCUUAUUUAAACCAGUUUUAGCUGACUUUGUCUGAUGAUGCUCUGGCAUAAGAAGGGAGGAGAGGACACUGCUUCAUUACUGCCAGGUGGAGGUCGAAGUUCAAGUUCUCCAUUUUGCCUGCACCGACACCUGAGGGCCAAGCCAGCAAGCACUACCUCCAUGCUUAUCCCCAGGAUGUGACCAAGGAAAGUGGUAUCUCCUGGCAGUGGAUUAACUGGGAAAUGCACAUUGGGAGGUGCACAGCAGACAUACCUGGGGGCCUAGGAACUAUAUGCCCACCAACCCAAUAUUCUGAUAUAACACACCCUCAAGAAAUAAAAAUUUUGCCCUGGUUGGAUAUCACUGUGAUGGGAAACAGGGAAGAAUGGGUAGUAUCAGAUGAUGGGCAAAAGGAGCUGCAUUUUUUUUUUUAACUAGUGGAAGGAUGAUAAUAUAACAGGGCCCUUGAAGGAGAUCAUGUAGUAAUAAAACACAGUCCAUGUGAUUUGGAGUCAGUCAUAUUUCUACCCCAUAGAAGUACACUGUCCAGAAUAGUAAAUACAAAUGGUUAUUUAAAUUUAAACUAAUUAAAUUUAAAUUAAAAAUUAAAACUUAUUUCUUUAGUUGCACUUUUCAUACUUCAGAUGCUCUCAAGUCACCCGUGGAUAGGCCACUGUACUGGAUGCUGAGAGUUGGAACACUCCACUCCUGUAGAAAGUUCUGUUGAAGAUUACUGCUAUAGAGUAUUGUUACUUCUUGCUCUCUUGUUACCUUUAGGCCUUUAACUUUUUGGAUAUACUAUUUAUUUUACUGCUUCCCUGUUUUAUCCUGAAGAUCUGCCCUAUUCCCCCUUCCUGCCUGCCUCUGAUUUUGCCACCAACCUUAGUUUUGAAGAAACUAAGGGUUGUUGUCAACACUUGCCAAAGAUCUGACCUCUGACUUCUCCAUUGGGUUUUGACCUUUGGCUUUAUUACUUAGUACAUAAUGGCCUCAACCUGCUCACACCUGAGUUAGGAUACUUGGCUCCUGAUUUGGCCUUAGCAACUGGUUUGUCUUCUCCUCCCAACUCUCUGGGUCAGUUUACUUUAAAAUUUUAGUUCAUGGCUUUCUUGUACUGGAUUCAUAUAAUCUGUCCUUAAUUUACCAGUCUUUGUAGUUUUGCUUGUACCUCUCAAUAUGUGAGAUUGUAGACAGCAGUGUUUUAUUAUUGUACUAUAACUGAGCUUCAUUUUUAGCCAUUAUUGUGGGAAAAGUUUUCAAAAUGUGUUUAAUACUAA